GAUGAACGCUGGCGGCGUGCCUAACACAUGCAAGUCGAACGGAGAUAUCCGCUGAUUUGAAGGUAGCUUGCUACUGAAUUUUCUUGGGUAUCUUAGUGGCGGACGGGCGAGUAACGCGUGAGCAACCUGCCUUUCAGAGGGGAAUAACGACUGGAAACGGUCGCUAAUACCGCAUGACAUAUCGAGAUCGCAUGGUCAUGAUAUCAAAGGAGCAAUCCGCUGAAAGAUGGGCUCGCGUCCGAUUAGCUAGUUGGUGAGGUAACGGCCCACCAAGGCGACGAUCGGUAGCCGAACUGAGAGGUUGAACGGCCACAUUGGGACUGAGACACGGCCCAGACUCCUACGGGAGGCAGCAGUGGGGAUAUUGCACAAUGGAGGAAACUCUGAUGCAGCAACGCCGCGUGACGGGAAGAAGGUUUCGGAUUGUAAACCUCUGUUUUUAGUG
RNAcentral lists this ribosomal RNA (445 nucleotides) under uncultured bacterium. Its description in RNAcentral is "bacterial SSU rRNA". It matches the Rfam family "Bacterial small subunit ribosomal RNA", at positions 28 to 444 of the family's 1533-position model. The record is from RNAcentral.